GGGGAUGUAGCUCAGUGGUAGAGUGUGUGCUUAGCUUGUUUAAGGUCCUGGGUUCAAUUCCCAGCAUCUCCA
Trematomus bernacchii (emerald rockcod) is the source of this 72-nucleotide non-coding RNA. NCBI's taxonomy places the organism in Eukaryota, Metazoa, Chordata, Actinopteri, Perciformes, Nototheniidae. The record is from the annotation of a RefSeq genome assembly.